CCUGCGGAGGAUCAUUAUAGAAUAGAAAAAUGGGCUGUUGCUGGCUCCUCGCAAUGUGCACGCCUGUUCAUUUAUCUCUCCUCUUGUGCACCAACUGUAGGUCUUCGGGUCUAUGUUUUUACAAUCUCUCAAACGUGUUUGGAAUGUCAUGUCAUAUAAUAAUGAUAAUAUACAACUUUCAGCAACGGAUCUCUUGGCUCUUGCAUCGAUGAAGAACGCAGCGAAAUGCGAUAAGUAAUGUGAAUUGCAGAAUUCAGUGAAUCAUCGAAUCUUUGAACGCAUCUUGCGCUCCUUGGUACUCUGAGGAGCAUGCCUGUUUGAGUGUCAUAAAGUUCUCAAUCUCAGGAUUGGACUGUUGGGAUUUGCAGGCUUUAAUUAAAGGUCUGCUCUCCUGAAAUGAAUCAGUGGCGUCUGAGCAUGAGGGGGACCACUACUAGUUGUAUUUUAUGCCUCCUGUGAGGUCUCUGUUGCCCAAGCUGCUUCAAACUUGAAUUAUCAAUGAUGAAUUUGACCUCAAAUCAGGUAGGACUACCCGCUGAACUUAAGCAUAUCAAUAAGCGGAGGAAAAGAAACUAACAAGGAUUCCCCUAGUAACUGCGAGUGAAGCGGGAAGAGCUCAAAUUUGAAAUCUGGCGGCUCCUUUGACCGUCCGAGUUGUAAUCUAGAGAAGUGCUACCCGUGCUGGACCGUGUACAAGUCUCCUGGAAUGGGGCAUCGUAGAGGGUGAGAAUCCCGUCUUUGACAUGGACUGCCAGUGCGCCGUGGGUGUGCUCUCGAAGAGUCGAGUUGUUUGGGAAUGCAGCUCAAAAUGGGUGGUAAAUGCCAUCUAAAGCUAAAUACUGGCGAGAGACCGAUAGCGAACAAGUACCGUGAGGGAAAGAUGAAAAGAACUUUGGAAAGAGAGUUAAACAGUACGUGAAAUUGCUGAAAGGGAAACGCUUGGAGUCAGUCGCGUCGGCCGGGAAUCAGCCUUGCUUCUGCUUGGUGCACUUCCUGGUUCAACGGGUCAGCAUCAGUCUUGACCGCCGGACAAAGGCCUUUGGGAAUGUGGCAUCCUCUGGAUGUGUUAUAGCCCAUGGUCGCAUACGGCGGCUGGGAUUGAGGAACUCAGUGCGUCCCCCUGCAAGGGGAUUGGGUCCUCGGA
RNAcentral lists this ribosomal RNA (1144 nucleotides) under Inocybe sp. 1A1. Its description in RNAcentral is "eukaryotic LSU rRNA". The stretch from base 509 to 1144 matches the Rfam family "Eukaryotic large subunit ribosomal RNA", at positions 1 to 637 of the family's 3401-position model. Lineage: Eukaryota; Fungi; Basidiomycota; Agaricomycetes; Agaricales; Inocybaceae. The record is from RNAcentral.